RNAcentral lists this ribosomal RNA (472 nucleotides) under uncultured bacterium. Its description in RNAcentral is "bacterial SSU rRNA". It matches the Rfam family "Bacterial small subunit ribosomal RNA", at positions 45 to 507 of the family's 1533-position model. The record is from RNAcentral.
UGCCUUACACAUGCAAGUCGAACGGCAGCAUGGAGAGCUUGCUCUCUGAUGGCGAGUGGCGAACGGGUGAGUAAUGCAUCGGAACGUACCGUGUAAUGGGGGAUAACGUAGCGAAAGUUACGCUAAUACCGCAUAUUCUGUGCGCAGGAAAGCAGGGGACCUUCGGGCCUUGUGCUGAUUGAGCGGCCGAUAUCAGAUUAGCUAGUUGGUGAGGUAAAGGCUCACCAAGGCGACGAUCUGUAGCGGGUCUGAGAGGAUGAUCCGCCACACUGGAACUGAGACACGGUCCAGACUCCUACGGGAGGCAGCAGUGGGGAACAUUGGACAAUGGGGGGAACCCUGAUCCAGCCAUGCCGCGUGUGUGAAGAAGGCCUUUUGGUUGUAAAGCACUUUAAGCGAGGAGGAGGAGCUCUAGAUUAAUACUCUAGAUGCUUGGACGUUACUCGCAGAAUAAGCACCGGCUAACUCUGUG